GUGCAAGUAAUAUAUACAUAAUUGCAAAAGUAUUGAUUGUAUGUGUGAAAGCAAUAAAGAAAUAGAGACUAGGUUAAGAAAAUUACAUAACCUUAAGAGACUGCAAUUUCUCACCAAAUCAUUCGGGGAAAGAAAGUCAUUAAAAGAGGAAAUUAAA
Hibiscus syriacus is the source of this 157-nucleotide long non-coding RNA. RefSeq lists it as uncharacterized. The transcript is spliced from 3 exons. The record is from RefSeq and is a predicted model, not a curated record. Lineage: Eukaryota; Viridiplantae; Streptophyta; Magnoliopsida; Malvales; Malvaceae.